RNAcentral lists this ribosomal RNA (437 nucleotides) under Bacillus sp. (in: firmicutes). RNAcentral describes it as "bacterial SSU rRNA". It matches the Rfam family "Bacterial small subunit ribosomal RNA", at positions 334 to 771 of the family's 1533-position model. Lineage: Bacteria; Bacillati; Bacillota; Bacilli; Caryophanales; Bacillaceae. The record is from RNAcentral.
UACUCCUUAGGGGGGGCAGCAGUAGGGAAUCUUCCGCAAUGGACGAAAGUCUGACGGAGCAACGCCGCGUGAGUGAUGAAGGCUUUCGGGUCGUAAAACUCUGUUGUUAGGGAAGAACAAGUACAAGAGUAACUGCUCGUACCUUGACGGUACCUAACCAGAAAGCCACGGCUAACUACGUGCCAGCAGCCGCGGUAAUACGUAGGUGGCAAGCGUUAUCCGGAAUUAUUGGGCGUAAAGCGCGCGCAGGCGGUUUCUUAAGUCUGAUGUGAAAGCCCACGGCUCAACCGUGGAGGGUCAUUGGAAACUGGGGAACUUGAGUGCAGAAGAGAAAAGCGGAAUUCCACGUGUAGCGGUGAAAUGCGUAGAGAUGUGGAGGAACACCAGUGGCGAAGGCGGCUUUUGGUCUGUAACUGACGCUGAGCGCUAGCUACCUA